UACGUAAGGGGCAAGCGUUGUUCGGAAUUACUGGGCGUAAAGGGCGCGUAGGCGGCACGGCAAGUCAGGAGUGAAAGGCCUGGGCUCAACCGAGGAACUGCUUUUGAGACUGCCGAGCUAGAGUGCAGAAGGGGCAACUGGAAUUCCCAGUGUAGCGGUGAAAUGCGUAGAUAUUGGGAAGAACACCUGAGGCGAAGGCGGGUUGCUGGGCUGACACUGACGCUGAGGCGCGAAAGCCAGGGGAGCAAACGGG
This 253-nucleotide ribosomal RNA is filed under the name uncultured bacterium. Its description in RNAcentral is "partial 16S ribosomal RNA". It matches the Rfam family "Bacterial small subunit ribosomal RNA", at positions 524 to 776 of the family's 1533-position model. The record is from RNAcentral.